GCUUUGGUGGUGCAACGGUUUAGCAUAUGCUCCUGGAAAGAGUAAGAUAUGAUUUCGAAUCCCGCCUAACGCA
Parelaphostrongylus tenuis is the source of this 73-nucleotide non-coding RNA. The record is from the annotation of a GenBank genome assembly. NCBI's taxonomy places the organism in Eukaryota, Metazoa, Nematoda, Chromadorea, Rhabditida, Metastrongylidae.